Molecule: ribosomal RNA, 118 nt
Filed under: Vitreoscilla stercoraria
Lineage: Bacteria; Pseudomonadati; Pseudomonadota; Betaproteobacteria; Neisseriales; Neisseriaceae
Source: RNAcentral
UGUUUGACGACCAUAGCGAGUUGGUCCCACGCCUUCCCAUCCCGAACAGGACCGUGAAACGACUUAGCGCCGAUGAUAGUGUGGAUUACCCAUGUGAAAGUAGGUCAUCGUCAAACGC